Small nuclear RNA from Schistocerca americana (American grasshopper), 184 nucleotides. RefSeq annotates it as U2 spliceosomal RNA. The transcript has a single exon. NCBI's taxonomy places the organism in Eukaryota, Metazoa, Arthropoda, Insecta, Orthoptera, Acrididae. The record is from RefSeq and is a predicted model, not a curated record.
AUAGUGCUCAGAGCCAUUUGAACCAUUUUUUUUGUUCUUAUCAGCUUAAUAUCUGAUACGUCCUGCAUCGCAGGACCAGAAUAUUAAACUAAUUUUUGGCUCAUGACGGAGUGCUAGGGGCUUGCUCCACCUCUGUCGCGGGUUGGCCCGGCAUUGCAGUACCGCCGGGAUCGGCCCACCUAAA